UAGGUUUUAGUUUAUAAGAACAUUUGACUGUUAAUCAAAAAGAGCAAAUGGUUGCAAACCUAG
Molecule: transfer RNA, 63 nt
Filed under: Xylophaga washingtona
Lineage: Eukaryota; Metazoa; Mollusca; Bivalvia; Myida; Xylophagaidae
Description: tRNA-Asn
Rfam family: tRNA
About the family: Transfer RNA (tRNA) molecules are approximately 80 nucleotides in length.
Source: RNAcentral